CCUACGGGGGGCAGCAGUGGGGAAUAUUGGACAAUGGGGGCAACCCUGAUCCAGCCAUGCCGCGUGUGUGAAGAAGGCCCUCGGGUUUUAAAGCACUUUCAGUGAGGAAGAACGCCUGGUGGUUAAUACCCAUCAGGAAAGACAUCACUCACAGAAGAAGCACCGGCUAACUCCGUGCCAGCAGCCGCGGUAAUACGGAGGGUGCGAGCGUUAAUCGGAAUUACUGGGCGUAAAGCGCGCGUAGGUGGCUUGAUAAGCCGGUUGUGAAAGCCCCGGGCUCAACCUGGGAACGGCAUCCGGAACUGUCAAGCUAGAGUGCAGGAGAGGAAGGUAGAAUUCCCGGUGUAGCGGUGAAAUGCGUAGAGAUCGGGAGGAAUACCAGUGGCGAAGGCGGCCUUCUGGACUGACACUGACACUGAGGUGCGAAAGCGUGGGUAGCAAACAGGAUUAGAUACCCCUGUAGUC
This 465-nucleotide ribosomal RNA is filed under the name Vreelandella stevensii. Its description in RNAcentral is "partial 16S ribosomal RNA". It matches the Rfam family "Bacterial small subunit ribosomal RNA", at positions 338 to 795 of the family's 1533-position model. Lineage: Bacteria; Pseudomonadati; Pseudomonadota; Gammaproteobacteria; Oceanospirillales; Halomonadaceae. The record is from RNAcentral.